AUUGAACGCUGGCGGCAGGCCUAACACAUGCAAGUCGAGCGGAUGAGUGGAGCUUGCUCCAUGAUUCAGCGGCGGACGGGUGAGUAAUGCCUAGGAAUCUGCCUGGUAGUGGGGGACAACGUUUCGAAAGGAACGCUAAUACCGCAUACGUCCUACGGGAGAAAGCAGGGGACCUUCGGGCCUUGCGCUAUCAGAUGAGCCUAGGUCGGAUUAGCUAGUAGGUGAGGUAAUGGCUCACCUAGGCGACGAUCCGUAACUGGUCUGAGAGGAUGAUCAGUCACACUGGAACUGAGACACGGUCCAGACUCCUACGGGAGGCAGCAGUGGGGAAUAUUGGACAAUGGGCGAAAGCCUGAUCCAGCCAUGCCGCGUGUGUGAAGAAGGUCUUCGGAUUGUAAAGCACUUUAAGUUGGGAGGAAGGGCAGUAAGUUAAUACGUUGCUACUUUGACGUUACCGACAGAAUAAGCACCGG
RNAcentral lists this ribosomal RNA (473 nucleotides) under uncultured bacterium. RNAcentral describes it as "bacterial SSU rRNA". It matches the Rfam family "Bacterial small subunit ribosomal RNA", at positions 30 to 496 of the family's 1533-position model. The record is from RNAcentral.